CGAACUGAUUCACUUUGAAUUUCACUGAGCUGACUACAGGAAAUCUCUCAAGCAAUUAAUCGAAAUGGGAAAAUUCAUCGUGCUUCUUUGCUUUAUGCUUCUCGCAAUGACUUUGGUCAUGGCCUGUGUACCACGCGGAGGAAUCUGCGCGAUUAGCGCUCAGUGUUGCGGACAUUUCGUGUGUAAUAAAUAUACUCUUCGUUGCACCGAAGGAGGCCCACAUGAACCUGCCCCUGCUCAAUAAUCAUAAAUGGUAUAGCUCGACCUGGACUUUGUUGUGUAGAACUAUGAUUCAAUAUUGAUUGAUUUAAAAAUAUGUGAAAAUUUACUCAAUAAUUGGAAAUAUACACUUGCUUAGUCAUUA
Temnothorax curvispinosus is the source of this 364-nucleotide long non-coding RNA. RefSeq lists it as uncharacterized. The transcript is spliced from 3 exons. The record is from RefSeq and is a predicted model, not a curated record. NCBI's taxonomy places the organism in Eukaryota, Metazoa, Arthropoda, Insecta, Hymenoptera, Formicidae.